Molecule: ribosomal RNA, 1034 nt
Filed under: Pseudorana sangzhiensis
Lineage: Eukaryota; Metazoa; Chordata; Amphibia; Anura; Ranidae
Description: partial large subunit ribosomal RNA
Rfam family: Bacterial large subunit ribosomal RNA
Source: RNAcentral
AGCUCUUCCUUAGCCUCACAAUUAGUACAAACAAACCCUUAGGCUUAAGAGCUAUUCAAAUAAGGCACAGCUUAUUUGAAACAGGACACAACCUAUAACAUAGGGUAAACAAAAGUGAUUAAAAUAAAGUGGGCCUAAAAGCAGCCAUCUUUAAAAAAGCGUUAAAGCUUAACUAUUUUCCACUUAUAAUACCUAAACUUCCCACUAACCCCUCACCACUAUUGAACGAUUUUAUAUCUUUAUAAAAGCUAUCAUGCUAGAACUAGUAACAAGAAAUUGCCUUUCUCCUAAAUGUAAAUAUAAACCAAAAUAGACUAUCUAUUGGUUAUUAACGUAAAUGCUAAAUUAUAGUAACACUCACUAGAAAAUCCUAUAACCCCCAACGUUAACCUUACACUAGAACAUUACAGGAAAGAUUAAAAGAAAAAGAAGGAACUCGGCAAAUUUUAGCCUCGCCUGUUUACCAAAAACAUCGCCUCUUGAUAAAACAUAAGAGGUCCAGCCUGCCCAGUGACAAAGUUUAACGGCCGCGGUACCCUAACCGUGCGAAGGUAGCAUAAUCACUUGUUCUUUAAAUGAGGACUCGUAUCAACGGCACUACGAGGGCUAUACUGUCUCCUUUUUCCAAUCAGUGAAACUGAUCUCCCCGUGAAGAAGCGGGGAUGAAAAUAUAAGACGAGAAGACCCCAUGGAGCUUUAAACUCACCAUGCACCUCUAUGCCCUUAUAUCACUAAACAUAAGACACCUGCAUGAUAGUUUUAGGUUGGGGGGACCACGGAGUAUAAUAUAACCUCCACAACAAAUGGGCUAACACCCUUAUCCACGAGACACAACUCUAAGAAUUAUUAAACUAAUGCUUAUGACCCGAUAAUCGAUCAAUGAACCAAGUUACCCUGGGGAUAACAGCGCAAUCUACUUCAAGAGCCCAUAUCGACAAGUAGGUUUACGACCUCGAUGUUGGAUCAGGGUAUCCCGGUGGUGCAGCCGCUACUAAUGGUUCGUUUGUUCAACGAUUAAAACCCUACGUGAUCUG